UGGGGAAUAUUGCACAAUGGGCGGAAGCCUGAUGCAGCGACGCCGCGUGGGGGAUGAAGGCCUUCGGGUUGUAAACUCCUUUCGACAGGGACGAAGCUUUUGUGACGGUACCUGUAUAAGAAGCACCGGCUAACUACGUGCCAGCAGCCGCGGUAAUACGUAGGGUGCGAGCGUUGUCCGGAAUUACUGGGCGUAAAGAGCUCGUAGGUGGUUUGUCGCGUCGUCUGUGAAAUUCCGGGGCUUAACUCCGGGCGUGCAGGCGAUACGGGCUGACUUGAGUGCUGUAGGGGAGACUGGAAUUCCUGGUGUAGCGGUGAAAUGCGCAGAUAUCAGGAGGAACACCGAUGGCGAAGGCAGGUCUCUGGGCAGUAGCUGACGCUGAGGAGCGAAAGCAUGGGUAGCGAACAGGAUUAGAUACCCUGGUAGUCCAUGCCGUAAACGGUGGGCGCUAGGUGUAGGGGGCUUCCACGUCUUCUGUGCCGUAGCUAACGCAUUAAGCGCCCCGCCUGGGGAGUACGGCCGCAAGGCUA
Molecule: ribosomal RNA, 530 nt
Filed under: uncultured bacterium
Lineage: Bacteria
Description: bacterial SSU rRNA
Rfam family: Bacterial small subunit ribosomal RNA
Source: RNAcentral